AACUCUAGGAGUUGGCCCUUGUCUAUGUUCCUUGGAACAGGACGUCACAGAGGGUGAGAAUCCCGUGCGAUGGGGUGUCCAAUUCUAUGUAGAGUGCUUUCGAAGAGUCGAGUUGUUUGGGAAUGCAGCUCUAAGUGGGUGGUAAAUUCCAUCUAAAGCUAAAUAUUGGCGAGAGACCGAUAGCGAACAAGUACAGUGAUGGAAAGAUGAAAAGAACUUUGAAAAGAGAGUGAAAAAGUACGUGAAAUUGUUGAAAGGGAAGGGCUUGAGAUCAGACUCGGUAUUUUGCGAUCCUAUCCUUCGUGGAGAGGUUUCACUUGCAGCUUACCGGGCCAGCAUCGGUUUGGAUGGUAGGAUAAUGACAUUGGAAUGUGGCUCUUCGGAGUGUUAUAGCCUUUGUUG
RNAcentral lists this ribosomal RNA (402 nucleotides) under [Candida] sp. RNAcentral describes it as "Candida sp. (in: Saccharomycetales) partial large subunit ribosomal RNA". It matches the Rfam family "Eukaryotic large subunit ribosomal RNA", at positions 160 to 559 of the family's 3401-position model. The record is from RNAcentral. Lineage: Eukaryota; Fungi; Ascomycota; Saccharomycetes; Saccharomycetales.